Molecule: ribosomal RNA, 491 nt
Filed under: uncultured bacterium
Lineage: Bacteria
Description: SSU rRNA
Rfam family: Bacterial small subunit ribosomal RNA
Source: RNAcentral
AGGAUUAACGCUGGCGGCGUGCAUGAAACAUGCAAGUCGAGCGCGGUGUGAUGCGGGGUAACCCAAUUCACAUCUAGCGGCGAACGGGUGAGUAACACGUGAGCAACCUACCUUUGAGUUGGGGAUAGCCCUGGGAAACCAGGAUUAAUACCCGAUGUGGUCACAACAGGACAUCCUGAUGUGAGUAAAGGCGCAAGCCGCUCAAUGACGGGCUCGCGGCCUAUUAGCUUGUUGGUGGGGUAACGGCCUACCAAGGCGAUGAUGGGUAGCUGGUCUGAGAGGACGAUCAGCCACACUGGGACUGAGACACGGCCCAGACUCCUACGGGAGGCAGCAGUUAGGAAUUUUCCGCAAUGGGCGAAAGCCUGACGGAGCAACGCCGCGUGAGUGAUGAAGACCUUAGGGUUGUAAAGCUCUGUCGGAGGGAAGAACACAAUGACGGUACCCUCCAAGAAACGCCCGGACUAACUACGCGCCAGCAGCCGCGGUAA